GUACACAAAAAUGCACAUGCUGUGAGCUCGAUGAGUAGGGCGGGACACGUGGUAUCCUGUCUGAAUAUGGGGGGACCAUCCUCCAAGGCUAAAUACUCCUGACUGACCGAUAGUGAACCAGUACCGUGAGGGAAAGGCGAAAAGAACCCCGGCGAGGGGAGUGAAAAAGAACCUGAAACCGUGUACGUACAAGCAGUGGGAGCACGCUUAGGCGUGUGACUGCGUACCUUUUGUAUAAUGGGUCAGCGACUUAUAUUCUGUAGCAAGGUUAACCGAAUAGGGGAGCCGAAGGGAAACCGAGUCUUAACUGGGCGUUAAGUUGCAGGGUAUAGACCCGAAACCCGGUGAUCUAGCCAUGGGCAGGUUGAAGGUUGGGUAACACUAACUGGAGGACCGAACCGACUAAUGUUGAAAAAUUAGCGGAUGACUUGUGGCUGGGGGUGAAAGGCCAAUCAAACCGGGAGAUAGCUGGUUCUCCCCGAAAGCUAUUUAGGUAGCGCCUCGUGAAUUCAUCUCCGGGGGUAGAGCACUGUUUCGGCAAGGGGGUCAUCCCGACUUACCAACCCGAUGCAAACUGCGAAUACCGGAGAAUGUUAUCACGGGAGACACACGGCGGGUGCUAACGUCCGUCGUGAAGAGGGAAACAACCCAGACCGCCAGCUAAGGUCCCAAAGUCAUGGUUAAGUGGGAAACGAUGUGGGAAGGCCCAGACAGCCAGGAUGUUGGCUUAGAAGCAGCCAUCAUUUAAAGAAAGCGUAAUAGCUCACUGGUCGAGUCGGCCUGCGCGGAAGAUGUAACGGGGCUAAACCAUGCACCGAAGCUGCGGCAGCGACGCUUAUGCGUUGUUGGGUAGGGGAGCGUUCUGUAAGCCUGUGAAGGUGUGCUGUGAGGCAUGCUGGAGGUAUCAG
Molecule: ribosomal RNA, 908 nt
Filed under: Escherichia coli
Lineage: Bacteria; Pseudomonadati; Pseudomonadota; Gammaproteobacteria; Enterobacterales; Enterobacteriaceae
Description: partial 23S ribosomal RNA
Rfam family: Bacterial large subunit ribosomal RNA
Source: RNAcentral